This 740-nucleotide ribosomal RNA is filed under the name uncultured Desulfurococcales archaeon. Its description in RNAcentral is "bacterial SSU rRNA". It matches the Rfam family "Archaeal small subunit ribosomal RNA", at positions 1 to 719 of the family's 1478-position model. Lineage: Archaea; Thermoproteati; Thermoproteota; Thermoprotei; Desulfurococcales. The record is from RNAcentral.
UCCGGUUGAUCCUGCCGGACCCGACUGCUAUCGGGAUGGCACUAAGCCAUGGGAGUCGCACAUCCCACCGCUGUGGGGUGUGGCGCACGGCUGAGUAACACGUGGCUAACCUGCCCUCGGGACGGGGAUAACCCCGGGAAACUGGGGCUAAUACCCGAUAGGCGGACAGGCCUGGAACGGUUGUCCGCCUAAAAGGAUAGAAGGGGGAUAUCGCCUUCUAUCCGCCCGAGGAUGGGGCUGCGUCCCAUCAGGCUGUUGGCGGGGUAACGGCCCGCCAAACCUGUAACGGGUAGGGGCCGUGAGAGCGGGAGCCCCCAGAUGGGCACUGAGACAAGGGCCCAGGCCCUACGGGGCGCACCAGGCGGGAAACCUCCGCAAUGCGGUAACCCGUGACGGGGGUCACCCCGAGUGCUCUCCGUUUGGAGAGCUUUUCCCUACUGUAAGAAGGUAGGGGUAAUAAGUGGGGGGCAAGUCUGGUGUCAGCCGCCGCGGUAAUACCAGCCCCACGAGUGGUCGGGACGGUUAUUGGGCCUAAAGCGCCCGUAGCCGGCCCAGCAAGUUCCUGCCUAAAUCCUCGGGCUCAACCCGGGGAAAGGUGGGAAUACUACUGGGCUAGGAGGCGGGAGAGGCCGGGGGUACUGCCAGGGUAGGGGCGAAAUCCUAUAAUCCUGGCAGGACCACCAGUGGCGAAGGCGCCCGGCUGGAACGCGCUCGACGGUGAGGGGCGAAAGCUGGGGGAG